RNAcentral lists this ribosomal RNA (123 nucleotides) under Glypthelmins quieta. Its description in RNAcentral is "partial 5.8S ribosomal RNA". It matches the Rfam family "5.8S ribosomal RNA", at positions 34 to 154 of the family's 154-position model. Rfam says of the family: 5.8S ribosomal RNA (5.8S rRNA) is a component of the large subunit of the eukaryotic ribosome. It is transcribed by RNA polymerase I as part of the 45S precursor that also contains 18S and 28S rRNA. Functionally, it is thought that 5.8S rRNA may be involved in ribosome translocation. Lineage: Eukaryota; Metazoa; Platyhelminthes; Trematoda; Plagiorchiida; Plagiorchiidae. RNAcentral also lists the same sequence under 4 other names. The record is from RNAcentral.
CGAUGAAGAGCGCAGCCAACUGUGUGAAUUAAUGUGAACUGCAUACUGCUUUGAACAUCGACAUCUUGAACGCACAUUGCGGCCAUGGGUUGUCCCAUGGCCACGCCUGUCCGAGGGUCGGCU